AGAACAAUCGAUCUGUGAGUCCUCUCCAGUGGAGAGUACACAGGGAGCAGGAGUUGUAAUCCCAGUUUUUCAUAAUAAAGCCAUGUCAUCUGUCUAUGAGUUUCUCUGUUCUCUAGUGCUGCAGAGCACACCUAUGGCUCAGCCCUAAGUUAGAGAAAGAGAAGUGCAGCAAGGACAAAGACUGAACUUUGGAAGAUGGACUAGAAAAGAGAAUUGGCUGGAUUUAGGUAAAUCUCGAAAUCUUGAGAUUGGAAAGGAUUUCCUCCAAGGUCAGUUUGUCCAUGGCUCCACCUAAUGUCCCCUUAGAGGGGCCUUAAUGCCUUGGAGGUAAACAUUUUACCUCGAGAGGAGAGGAUACCACUGUAUAAUUUAACUCUCCUCAUCAUUGAGCUAAGUGGUUAUCACAAACUAGGCCAAUUUUUUCUCUUAGCAAUUUUUACACAGUGACUCAGAGUAAGACUUCGAAUCAAAGUCUACUCCUCCCUUAAAGUGCAACACUUCAAAAACAACUGAAGACAACUCCUCAGAGCUCCCUGUUGUCUUCUCCAAGUCUUCCAGAAGAACCUCUUUCCAUAUAAGGUAACUCUUCUCCUGAUGAGGGUUGCCUGAUUUCACAGAUAAAAAUAUAGAAUGCCCAGUUGAAUUUGAGUUUCAGAUAAACAAUGAAUACAUUUUUAGUGUUAAGUAUGCUCUGUGUAAUAUUUGGGACAUACUUAUACUAAAAAUAUAUUGCUUAUUUAUCUGAAAUUCCAAUUUUACUGGGCAUUCUGUAUUUUGGCUAGCAACCCUCCCUACUCUGGAUGCAUUUUAGUUUGUAAAUGUUGUUUUUAAAAUAUAAUGCUUAGAACUUAAGAUAAUAUUCUAGUUGAACACAGAAGUGCAGCUCACGUGGGGUGAGAAAGGCAAGUGGGGAAAUGGUGAAAGGAAGAGGACAUCUUCAUCCUCGUCUCCCUCCCUCCCCCUCCCAAUUUAUGUGUGAAGACUGGGAUAAACUCCCUUCCUGUGAGGGGAUAAAGGCCUCUCCUGGGCAUAGCAGGUCAGAGACAGGGCACAAUGUUGGCUCGAUGGGGCACCCUUGGGCACCAUCCUACUUGGCAGCCAUGACCUUAGGUAAAGAACUUACUCCAACAUCCAUAGUGCCUGCAACUAUUUCUAAUGUGUUAGCCCCUCUUUUGCACAAGGGACUGCUGUCUCCAUUCAUUUAAGAGAUACUUUCAGCCCAGAUGAUGGCAUAUUUGCAGAAUACAACACAUAAUGGCUUGUGUCUCUCUUAUCCAUUUACCUUUCUUUCAAUUCCUUUGCUCUUGUGGUUUCCAUCUCCUCCCCGUCCUUCACUGUAUUCCAGGUUUUUCAUGCAUUAAAUUAGAUGAUAAGCCCCUCCAGGGCAAGGGCCCUGUCUGCUCGUAACAUAGGAAAUAGCCUC
This 1423-nucleotide long non-coding RNA is filed under the name Homo sapiens (human). RNAcentral describes it as "HSALNT0013319". The record is from RNAcentral. Lineage: Eukaryota; Metazoa; Chordata; Mammalia; Primates; Hominidae.